UAGGGAAUCUUCGGCAAUGUACGGAAGUCUGACCGAGCAACGCCGCGUGAGUGAAGAAGGUUUUCGGAUCGUAAAGCUCUGUUGUUAGAGAAGAACGUUGGUAGGAGUGGAAAAUCUACCAAGUGACGGUAACUAACCAGAAAGGGACGGCUAACUACGUGCCAGCAGCCGCGGUAAUACGUAGGUCCCGAGCGUUGUCCGGAUUUAUUGGGCGUAAUGCGAGCGCAAGCGGUUCUUUAAGUCUGAAGUUAAAGGCAGUGGCUUAACCAUUGUACGCUUUGGAAACUGGAGGACUUGAGUGCAGAAGGGGAGAGUGGAAUUCCAUGUGUAGCGGUGAAAUGCGUAGAUAUAUGGAGGAACACCGGUGGCGAAAGCGGCUCUCUGGUCUGUAACUGACGCUGAGGCUCGAAAGCGUGGGGAGCAAACAGG
RNAcentral lists this ribosomal RNA (429 nucleotides) under Bacillota bacterium. RNAcentral's name for it is "Firmicutes bacterium partial 16S ribosomal RNA". It matches the Rfam family "Bacterial small subunit ribosomal RNA", at positions 355 to 776 of the family's 1533-position model. Lineage: Bacteria; Bacillati; Bacillota. The record is from RNAcentral.